UCUUGACUUCCGGAUAAAAUGUGACAACAAUGGACGUUGCCAUAAAGAAAAGUUCCCAUUAGUUUCUCUAUAUGCUCCUUGCCUAGCAGUUAACCUGUUUGGAAUAUUG
This 109-nucleotide small nucleolar RNA is filed under the name Mus musculus (house mouse). RNAcentral describes it as "small nucleolar RNA SNORA32". The record is from RNAcentral. Lineage: Eukaryota; Metazoa; Chordata; Mammalia; Rodentia; Muridae.